UUUAAGAAAAGGUUUAUGGUUUAGAGGAAACAACACGGUUAAAGUUUUAGGUUUGAAAUUUAGAGUUUGUGGCGAAAUUGUCAGGGUUUAGGAAAAAUCAGGGUAGUUAGUUAUGAAAAAAAAUGUGCAGAUCUAAAUAUAUGUAUAUAUAUAAAAAAAAAUGAAUUAAAAAAAAACAACGGCGUUGCUAGCGCAAAAUUGCGAUCAUCGCAACUGGAUCGGAUAACACAAAUGUCACGCCUCAUACACGUAUAUGUGAAAACGGCGUAUUGACACGAUCCGAUCCGAAAACAUAAUCAAAUAUAUCAACAAAAUAGAUAAAGUAUAUAUCAUAUAUAAACUAUUACCAAACUGUGUGUACGAUAGUAUAGAUCAGCCACUCUCAGUUUCUCUUUUUUGUUCUGUC
This 406-nucleotide long non-coding RNA is filed under the name Lathyrus oleraceus (garden pea). RNAcentral's name for it is "Pisum sativum (pea) long non-coding RNA (PSAT_LNC036185)". Lineage: Eukaryota; Viridiplantae; Streptophyta; Magnoliopsida; Fabales; Fabaceae. The record is from RNAcentral.